This 585-nucleotide small RNA is filed under the name Pan troglodytes (chimpanzee). Its description in RNAcentral is "retained intron". Lineage: Eukaryota; Metazoa; Chordata; Mammalia; Primates; Hominidae. The record is from RNAcentral.
AAGGGCCCACAGCUUGGGGAUGAGACUAGUUGGAAAAGGUCAGCUUGCCCCGAAGUGGGGAUUCUGAAUUCAGUACCGUACAGGUGGUGGUGGAGCUGAUCCUGCAGGGCCGGCCUUGGGCCCAAGUCCUGAAAGCCCUGAAUCACCACUUUCCAGAAUCUGGACCUAUAGUGCGGGAUCCCAAGGCUACAAAGCAGGAUCUGAGGAAGAUUUUGGAGGCACAGGAAACUUUUUACCAGCAGGUGAAGCAGCUGUCAGAGGCUCCUGUGGAUUUGGCCUUGAAGCUGAAGCUGCAGGUGAGACUGGUUUGAAGGCUAUUAUGUGGCUAUUUUCUCUAACCCUUUUUUUUUUUUUUUUUUUUUUUAGGAAUCUUGCUCUGUCGCCCGGGUGGAGUGCAGUGGCACAAUCUCGGCUCACUGCAACCUCUGCCUCCCGGGUUCAAGCGAUUCUCCUGCCUCAGCCUCCCGAGUAACUGGGAUUACAAAUGCCCAGCUAAUUUUUGUAUUUUAGUAGAGAUGGGGUUUCACCAUGUUGGCCAGGCUGGUCUCGAACUCCUGACCUCAAGUGAUGUGCCCACCUCGGCCU